AUUGAACGCUGGCGGUAUGCUUAACACAUGCAAGUCGAACGGCAGCAUGCUAAUUGAUACUUCGGUUGAAGUUAGUGAUGGCGGAGUGGGCGGACGGGUGAGUAAUACGUAAGAAUCUACCUAGUAGUUCAGGAUAGCUUGUGGAAACGCAGGGUAAUACUGGAUGUGUUCUCCGGAAUAAAGGGGGGCUUUUCGGGCUCUCGCUAUUAGAUGAGCUUACGUCGGAUUAGCUUGUUGGUGGGGUAAAGGCCUACCAAGGCGACGAUCCGUAGCUGUUCUGAGAGGAAGAUCAGCCACAUUGGGACUGAGACACGGCCCAG
This 320-nucleotide ribosomal RNA is filed under the name uncultured bacterium. RNAcentral's name for it is "bacterial SSU rRNA". It matches the Rfam family "Bacterial small subunit ribosomal RNA", at positions 30 to 334 of the family's 1533-position model. The record is from RNAcentral.